RNAcentral lists this ribosomal RNA (742 nucleotides) under uncultured crenarchaeote. RNAcentral describes it as "bacterial SSU rRNA". It matches the Rfam family "Archaeal small subunit ribosomal RNA", at positions 321 to 921 of the family's 1478-position model. Lineage: Archaea; Thermoproteati; Thermoproteota. The record is from RNAcentral.
CCCUAUGGGGUGCAGCAGGCGCGAAACCUCCGCAAUGCACGAAAGUGUGACGGGGUCACCCCGAGUGCCAUCCGCUGAGGGUGGCUUUUGCUCGGUGUAAUGAGCCGAGUGAAUAAGGGGAGGGCAAGUCUGGUGUCAGCCGCCGCGGUAAUACCAGCUCCUCGAGUUGUUGGGACGAUUAUUGGGUCUAAAGCGUCCGUAGCCGGCCGGAAAAGUUCACCGUUAAAUCCGACGAUUCAAUCGUCGGGCUGCGGAGAAUACUCUUCGGCUUGGGGGCGGGGGAGGUCGGCGGUAGUCCCGGGGUAGGGGCGAAAUCUUAUAAUCCCGGGAGGACCACCAGUGGCGAAGGCGGCCGACUAAAACGCGCCCGACGGUGAGGGACGAAAGCUGGGGGAGCGAACGGGAUUAGAUACCCCGGUAGUCCCAGCUGUAAACAAUGCAGGCUAGGUGUCGGGAUGGCUACGGGCCAGCUCGGUGCCGCAGGGAAGCCAUUAAGCCUGCCACCUGGGAAGUACGGUCGCAAGGCUGAAAUCCGGAAAGGCUUACAAUAUUCAGUGUUAACUGAGAUCAAUUUAAAAUAAUUCGAGGGCGCGCACCCUUGGUAUAAAAUCAAUUGUUCUUGACUGAGCUUUUUGGUUCAGUAUUUUAUCGGUGGUGAGCCUUCCUGACAGCAUACUUAAAGGGAAUUGGCGGGGGAGCACCACAAGGGGUGAAGCUUGCCGUUUAAUUGGAGUCACACCGG